Molecule: ribosomal RNA, 468 nt
Filed under: uncultured bacterium
Lineage: Bacteria
Description: partial 16S ribosomal RNA
Rfam family: Bacterial small subunit ribosomal RNA
Source: RNAcentral
GACGAACGCUGGCGGCGUGCUUAACACAUGCGAGUCGAACGGAAAGGCCCUGCUUUUGUGGGGUGCUCGAGGGGCGAACGGGUGAGUAACACGUGAGUAACCUGCCCUUGACUUUGGGAUAACUUCAGGAAACUGGGGCUAAUACCGGAUAGGAGCUCCUGCUGCAUGGUGGGGGUUGGAAAGUUUCGGCGGUUGGGGAUGGACUCGCGGCUUAUCAGCUUGUUGGUGUGGUAGUGGCUUACCAAGGCUUUGACGGGUAGCCGGCCUGAGAGGGUGACCGGCCACGUUGCGACUGGGCUACGGCCCAGACUCCUACGGGACGCAGCAGUGGGGAAUAGUGCACAAUGGGCGGAAGCCUGAUGCAGCAACGCCGCGUGCGGGAUGUCGGCCUUCGGUUUGUAAUCCGCUUUCGCCUGUGACGAAGCGUUAGUGACGGUACUGGGUAAAGAAGCACCGGCUAACUACGUG